AACGAACGCUGGCGGCAGGCCUAACACAUGCAAGUCGAACGCUCGUAGCAAUACGGGAGUGGCAGACGGGUGAGUAACACGUGGGAACCUUCCCUAUGGUUCGGAAUAGCUCAGGGAAACUUGGGGUAAUACCGGAUAAGCCCUUCGGGGAAGGAUUUAUCGCCAUUGGAUGGGCCCGCCGUCGGAUUAGCUAGUUGGUGAGGUAACGGCUCACCAAGGCAACGAUCCGUAGCUGGUCUGAGAGGAUGAUCAGCCACACUGGGACGUGAGACACGGCCC
RNAcentral lists this ribosomal RNA (279 nucleotides) under uncultured bacterium. Its description in RNAcentral is "partial 16S ribosomal RNA". It matches the Rfam family "Bacterial small subunit ribosomal RNA", at positions 29 to 332 of the family's 1533-position model. The record is from RNAcentral.